UACGUAGGGUGCGAGCGUUAAUCGGAAUUACUGGGCGUAAAGCGUGCGCAGGCGGCUAUAUAAGACAGAUGUGAAAUCCCCGGGCUCAACCUGGGACCUGCAUUUGUGACUGUAUAGCUAGAGUACGGUAGAGGGGGAUGGAAUUCCGCGUGUAGCAGUGAAAUGCGUAGAUAUGCGGAGGAACACCGAUGGCGAAGGCAAUCCCCUGGACCUGUACUGACGCUCAUGCACGAAAGCGUGGGGAGCAAACAGG
Molecule: ribosomal RNA, 253 nt
Filed under: uncultured bacterium
Lineage: Bacteria
Description: partial 16S ribosomal RNA
Rfam family: Bacterial small subunit ribosomal RNA
Source: RNAcentral